RNAcentral lists this ribosomal RNA (829 nucleotides) under uncultured bacterium. RNAcentral's name for it is "bacterial SSU rRNA". It matches the Rfam family "Bacterial small subunit ribosomal RNA", at positions 8 to 855 of the family's 1533-position model. The record is from RNAcentral.
AGAGUUUGAUCCUGGCUCAGGAUGAACGCUGGCGGUGUGCCUAACACAUGCAAGUCGAACGAGCAGCCACUGGAUCUUCGGAACUGGUGGUGGGCGAGUGGCGAACGGGUGCGUAACACGUAGGUACCUACCCCGAGGAGGGGGACAACUGCUGGAAACGGCAGCUAAUCCCACAUGGUCUCACUUCGGUGAGUAAAGACUCCGGUGCCUUGGGAGGGGCCUGCGGCCUAUCAGGUAGUUGGUGGGGUAACGGCCUACCAAGCCGACGACGGGCAGGGGGCGUGAGAGCGUGGCCCCCCACACGGGAACUGAGACACGGUCCCGACGCCUACGGGCGGCAGCAGUGAGGAAUCUUGCGCAAUGGGGGAAACCCUGACGCAGCGACACCGCGUGCGGGAGGAAGGCCUUCGGGUUGUAAACCGCUUUUCUGGAGGACGAGGAAGGACGGUACUCCAGGAAUAAGUCCCGGCUAACUACGUGCCAGCAGCCGCGGUAAAACGUAGGGGGCGAGCGUUAUCCGGAAUUACUGGGCGUAAAGGGCGUCUAGGCGGCAGGCUAAGUCCCAUGUGAAAGCUCCCGGCUCAACUGGGAGAGGGCAUGGGAAACUGGACUGCUAGAGACUCAGAGGGGGGUGUGGAAUUCCCGGUGGAGUGGUGAAAUGCGUUGAGAUCGGGAGGAACACCAGUAGCGAAGGCGGCACCCUGGCUGAGGUCUGACGCUGAAGCGCGACAGCGUGGGGAGCGAACGGGAUUAGAUACCCCGGUAGUCCACGCCGUAAACGAUGACAACUAGGUGUUGGGUGUCCAAGGACGUUCAGUGCUGCAGUUAA